CGCUCCGGUGGCCUAGUGAUUAGAAGCGUUCACCUUGGAUGCGGGAGGUCGAGGGUUCAAGCCCCAGCCGAGUGA
Potamilus streckersoni is the source of this 75-nucleotide non-coding RNA. NCBI's taxonomy places the organism in Eukaryota, Metazoa, Mollusca, Bivalvia, Unionida, Unionidae. The record is from the annotation of a GenBank genome assembly.